This 89-nucleotide transfer RNA is filed under the name Acidobacteriota bacterium. RNAcentral describes it as "Acidobacteria bacterium (groundwater metagenome) tRNA-Leu". It matches the Rfam family "tRNA". From Rfam's summary of the family: Transfer RNA (tRNA) molecules are approximately 80 nucleotides in length. Lineage: Bacteria; Pseudomonadati; Acidobacteriota. The record is from RNAcentral.
GCCGAAGUGGCGGAACUGGCAGACGCACGGGACUCAAAAUCCCGCGCUUCGUAAGGAGCGUGAGGGUUCGACUCCCUCCUUCGGCACCA